Molecule: ribosomal RNA, 459 nt
Filed under: uncultured bacterium
Lineage: Bacteria
Description: partial 16S ribosomal RNA
Rfam family: Bacterial small subunit ribosomal RNA
Source: RNAcentral
CCUACGGGUGGCAGCAGUGAGGAAUAUUGGUCAAUGGGCGCGAGCCUGAACCAGCCAAGUAGCGUGAAGGAUGACUGCCCUACGGGUUGUAACCUUCUUUUAUAAAGGAAUAAAGUGAGGCACGUGUGCCUUUUUGUAGGUGCUUUAUGAAUAAGGUUCGGUUAACUCCUUGCCAGCAGCCGCGGUAAUAGGGAGGUCCGGGGCUUUAUCCGGUUUUAUGGGGUUUAAAGGAGCGUAGAUGGGUUGUUAAGUCAGCUGUGAAAGUUUGCGGCUCAACCGUAAAAUUGCAAUUGAUACUGGCAGUCUUGAGUACAGUUGAGGUAGGCGGAAUUCGUGGUGUAGCGGUGAAAUGCUUAGAUAUCACGAAGAACUCCGAUUGCGAAGGCAGCUUACUAAACUGCCACUGACAUUGAUGCUCGAAAGUGUGGGUAUCAAACAGGAUUAGAUACCCGAGUAGUC